UGGGGAAUAUUGGACAAUGGGCGAAAGCCUGAUCCAGCAACGCCGCGUGAGGGAUGACGGCCUUCGGGUUGUAAACCUCUUUCGACCUCGACGAAGAGUGAUUGACGGUAGGGGUGGAAGAAGCACCGGCCAACUACGUGCCAGCAGCCGCGGUAACACGUAGGGUGCGAGCGUUGUCCGGAAUUAUUGGGCGUAAAGAGCUCGUAGGCGGUGUGUCACGUCGGCCGUGAAAAACCUGCAGCUUAACUGUGGGCGUGCGGUCGAUACGGGCAUCACUGGAGUUCGGCAGGGGAGACUGGAAUUCCUGGUGUAGCGGUGAAAUGCGCAGAUAUCAGGAGGAACACCGGUGGCGAAGGCGGGUCUCUGGGCCGAUACUGACGCUGAGGAGCGAAAGCGUGGGGAGCGAACAGGAUUAGAUACC
RNAcentral lists this ribosomal RNA (421 nucleotides) under uncultured bacterium. Its description in RNAcentral is "bacterial SSU rRNA". It matches the Rfam family "Bacterial small subunit ribosomal RNA", at positions 355 to 786 of the family's 1533-position model. The record is from RNAcentral.